UUCCGGUUGAUCCUGCCGGACCUUACUGCUAUCGGGGUGGGACUAAGACAUGCGAGUCGAGCGUCUCUAGCUAUGUUGAGACGCGGCAGACGGCUCAGUAACACGUGGCUAACCUACCUUCAGGACGAGGAUAAACCCGGGAAACUGGGGCUAAUACUCGAUAGGUGAGAAUGUCUGGAAUGACUUCUCAUCCAAAGGGCCUUGGAAACAUGCUUUCAAUGUCGCCUGGAGAUGGGGCCGCGUCCGAUCAGGUUGUUGGUGAGGUAACGGCUCACCAAGCCUAUAACCGGUACGGGCCAUGAGAGUGGUAGCCCGGAGAUGGGUACUGAGACAAGGACCCAGGCCCUACGGGGCGCAGCAGUCGCGAAAACUCCGCAAUGCACGAAAGUGUGACGGGGCUACCCCGAGUGCCAUCCGCUGAGGUUGGCUUUUCUUUGGUAUAACUAGCCAGGGGAAUAAGGAGAGGGCAAGACUGGUGUCAGCCGCCGCGGUAAUACCAGCUCUCCGAGUGGUAGGGAUGAUUAUUGGGCUUAAAGCGUCCGUAGCCGGCUUAGCAAGUCUCCUGUUAAAUUCAGCGACCUAAUCGUUGACCCGCGGGAGAUACUACUAGGCUAGGAGGCGGGAGAGGUCGACGGUACUUCUGGGGUAAGGGUGAAAUCCUAUAAUCCCGGGAGGACCACCAGUGGCGAAAGCUGUCGACUAGAACGCGCUCGACGGUGAGGGACGAAAGCUGGGGGAGCGAACCGGAUUAGAUACCCGGGUAGUCCCAGCCGUAAACGAUGCGAGCUAGGUGUUGGGAUGGCUACGUGCCAUUCCAGUGCCGCAGGGAAGCCAUUAAGCUCGCCGCCUGGGGAGUACGGCCGCAAGGCUGAAACUUAAAGGAAUUGGCGGGGGAGCACCACAAGGCGUGAAGCUUGCGGUUCAAUUGGAUUCAACGCCGGA
Molecule: ribosomal RNA, 942 nt
Filed under: uncultured archaeon
Lineage: Archaea
Description: bacterial SSU rRNA
Rfam family: Archaeal small subunit ribosomal RNA
Source: RNAcentral